Molecule: transfer RNA, 74 nt
Filed under: Candidatus Woesearchaeota archaeon
Lineage: Archaea; Nanobdellati; Candidatus Woesearchaeota
Description: tRNA-Thr
Rfam family: tRNA
About the family: Transfer RNA (tRNA) molecules are approximately 80 nucleotides in length. Their secondary structure includes four short double-helical elements and three loops (D, anti-codon, and T loops). Further hydrogen bonds mediate the characteristic L-shaped molecular structure. tRNAs have two regions of fundamental functional importance: the anti-codon, which is responsible for specific mRNA codon recognition, and the 3' end, to which the tRNAs corresponding amino acid is attached (by aminoacyl-tRNA synthetases). tRNAs cope with the degeneracy of the genetic code in two manners: having more than one tRNA (with a specific anti-codon) for a particular amino acid; and 'wobble' base-pairing, i.e. permitting non-standard base-pairing at the 3rd anti-codon position.
Source: RNAcentral
GCCCUCAUAACUCAGUUUGGGAGAGUACCGUCCUCGUAAGACGGAAGCCCUGGGUUCGAAUCCCAGUGGGGGCU